AUGCACGCUGGCGGCGUGCCUCAUACAUGCAAGUCGCGCGAACAGACGAGGAGCUUGCUCCUCUGACGUUAGCGGCGGACGGGUGAGUAACACGUGGAUAACCUACCUAUAAGACUGGGAUAACUUCGGGAAACCGGAGCUAAUACCGGAUAAUAUAUUGAACCGCAUGGUUCAAUAGUGAAAGACGGUUUUGCUGUCACUUAUAGAUGGAUCCGCGCCGCAUUAGCUAGUUGGUAAGGUAACGGCUUACCAAGGCAACGAUGCGUAGCCGACCUGAGAGGGUGAUCGGCCACACUGGAACUGAGACACGGUCCAGACUCCUACGGGAGGCAGCAGUAGGGAAUCUUCCGCAAUGGGCGAAAGCCUGACGGAGCAACGCCGCGUGAGUGAUGAAGGUCUUCGGAUCGUAAAACUCUGUUAUUAGGGAAGAACAAAUGUGUAAGUAACUAUGCACGUCUUGACGGUACCUAAUCAGAAAGCCACGACUAACUACGUG
This 496-nucleotide ribosomal RNA is filed under the name uncultured bacterium. RNAcentral's name for it is "partial 16S ribosomal RNA". It matches the Rfam family "Bacterial small subunit ribosomal RNA", at positions 29 to 507 of the family's 1533-position model. The record is from RNAcentral.